GCUAGAGAUGACGAGCGGCGGACGGGUGAGUAACACUUAGGAAUCUACCUAGUAGUGGGGGAUAGCACGGGGAAACUCGUAUUAAUACCGCAUACGACCUACGGGAGAAAGGGGGCAAUUUAUUGCUCUCGCUAUUAGAUGAGCCUAAGUCGGAUUAGCUAGAUGGUGGGGUAAAAGCCUACCAUGGCGACGAUCUGUAGCUGGUCCGAGAGGAUGAUCAGCCACACCGGAACUGAGACACGGUCCGGACUCCUACGGGAGGCAGCAGUGGGGAAUAUUGGACAAUGGGGGCAACCCUGAUCCAGCCAUGCCGCGUGUGUGAAGAAGGCCUUUUGGUUGUAAAGCACUUUAAGCAGUGAAGAAGACUCAAUGGUUAAUACCCAUUGACGAUGACAUUAGCUGCAGAAUAAGCACCGGCUAACUCUGUGCCAGCAGCCGCGGUAAUACAGAGGGUGCAAGCGUUAAUCGGAAUUACUGGGCGUAAAGCGAGCGUAGGUGGCUUGAUAAGUCAGAUGUGAAAUCCCCGGGCUUAACCUGGGAACUGCAUCUGAUACUGUUAGGCUAGAAUAGGUGAGAGGAAGGUAGAAUUCCAGGUGUAGCGGUGAAAUGCGUAGAGAUCUGGAGGAAUACCGAUGGCGAAGGCAGCCUUCUGGCAUCAUAUUGACACUGAGGUUCGAAAGCGUGGGUAGCAAACAGGAUUAGAUACCCUGGUAGUCCACGCCGUAAACGAUGUCUACUAGUCGUUGGGUCCCUUGAGGACUUAGUGACGCAGCUAACGCAAUAAGUAGACCGCCUGGGGAGUACGGCCGCAAGGUUAAAACUCAAAUGAAUUGACGGGGGCCCGCACAAGCGGUGGAGCAUGUGGUUUAAUUCGAUGCAACGCGAAGAACCUUACCUGGUCUUGACAUAUCUAGAAUCCUGCAGAGAUGCGGGAGUGCCUUCGGGAAUUAGAAUACAGGUGCUGCAUGGCUGUCGUCAGCUCGUGUCGUGAGAUGUUGGGUUAAGUCCCGCAACGAGCGCAACCCUUGUCCUUAGUUACCAGCGGUUUGGCCGGGAACUCUAAGGAUACUGCCAGUGACAAACUGGAGGAAGGCGGGGACGACGUCAAGUCAUCAUGGCCCUUACGACCAGGGCUACACACGUGCUACAAUGGUAGGUACAGAGGGCAGCUACACAGCGAUGUGAUGCGAAUCUCAAAAAGCCUAUCGUAGUCCGGAUUGGAGUCUGCAACUCGACUCCAUGAAGUAGGAAUCGCUAGUAU
This 1261-nucleotide ribosomal RNA is filed under the name uncultured Gammaproteobacteria bacterium. Its description in RNAcentral is "bacterial SSU rRNA". It matches the Rfam family "Bacterial small subunit ribosomal RNA", at positions 81 to 1341 of the family's 1533-position model. The record is from RNAcentral. Lineage: Bacteria; Pseudomonadati; Pseudomonadota; Gammaproteobacteria.